CCUCCCAUCGCCGGCACGCUGCCCACCAGGGCUACCUCUGAUUUGAGGGUUUGAGUGAUCGGAGAAAAUGAAGGAAUUGGUAGGGAGUCCAGGAGCAGUGAGUGGGCUAGUUCUGAGAAUGAGGCAAUGUGCAUUUGCUGCUGCUUCUAUUGGAAUUAUGGUCUCUGCCAGUGGCUUCACUAGCUACACUGCUUUCUGCUAUUUGAUUAAGUCAAUGGGGCUUCAAGCUCUGUGGAGCUUUGGACUUGCAUG
RNAcentral lists this unclassified non-coding RNA (252 nucleotides) under Hevea brasiliensis (rubber tree). Lineage: Eukaryota; Viridiplantae; Streptophyta; Magnoliopsida; Malpighiales; Euphorbiaceae. The record is from RNAcentral.